GAUGAACGCUGGCGGCGUGCCUAAUACAUGCAAGUCGAGCGAACAGACGAGGAGCUUGCUCCUCUGACGUUAGCGGCGGACGGGUGAGUAACACGUGGAUAACCUACCUAUAAGACUGGGAUAACUUCGGGAAACCGGAGCUAAUACCGGAUAAUAUAUUGAACCGCAUGGUUCAAUAGUGAAAGACGGUUUUGCUGUCACUUAUAGAUGGAUCCGCGCCGCAUUAGCUAGUUGGUAAGGUAACGGCUUACCAAGGCAACGAUGCGUAGCCGACCUGAGAGGGGGAUCGGCCACACUGGAACGGAGACACGGUCCAGACUCCUACGGGAGGCAGCAGUAGGGAAUCUUCCGCAAUGGGCGAAAGCUUGACGGAGCAACGCCGCGUGAGUGAUGAAGGUCUUCGGAUCGUAAAACUCUGUUAUUAGGGAAGAACAAAUGUGUAAGUAACUAUGCACGUCUUGACGGUACCUAAUCAGAAAGCCACGGCUAACUACGUG
Molecule: ribosomal RNA, 497 nt
Filed under: uncultured bacterium
Lineage: Bacteria
Description: partial 16S ribosomal RNA
Rfam family: Bacterial small subunit ribosomal RNA
Source: RNAcentral